Molecule: ribosomal RNA, 320 nt
Filed under: uncultured Peregrinia
Lineage: Eukaryota; Cercozoa; Imbricatea; Thaumatomonadida; Thaumatomastigidae
Description: SSU rRNA
Rfam family: Eukaryotic small subunit ribosomal RNA (bases 103-320)
Source: RNAcentral
GAUUUCUGGUACGGCGCACUUGGCCCGUCUCGGUUACGAGGUUGAGUGCCGGUGUGCGCCUGCCAUCCUUCUAGAGUACGACUCUCCCUUCAUUGGGUUGGGCCGGAAUCUAGAUCAUUUACUUUGAAAAAAUUAGAGUGUUUAAAGCAGGCUUACGCUAUGAAUACAUUAGCAUGGAAUAAUAAUUUAGGACUUUGGUCUUAUUUUGUUGGUUUCUAGGACUAAAGUAAUGAUUGAUAGGGAUAGUUGGGGGUGCUAGUAUUCAGCGGCCAGAGGUGAAAUUCUUGGAUUCGCUGAAGACUAACUUAUGCGAAAGCAUU